RNAcentral lists this ribosomal RNA (644 nucleotides) under Filobasidium globisporum. RNAcentral describes it as "eukaryotic LSU rRNA". The stretch from base 185 to 338 matches the Rfam family "5.8S ribosomal RNA". The record is from RNAcentral. Lineage: Eukaryota; Fungi; Basidiomycota; Tremellomycetes; Filobasidiales; Filobasidiaceae.
UCCGUAGGUGAACCUGCGGAAGGAUCAUUAUUGAAUUCAAAUCAUCUGUGGCUUCGGCCCGGAUGUGCCAACAGGUAACACUGUUGGUAAUUCUAUCCAUAACACCUGUGAACUGUUGGAUGCUUGCAUCCACUUUUAAACUAAACAUUAUUGUAACAAAUGUAGUCUUAUUAUAACAUAAUAAAACUUUUAACAACGGAUCUCUUGGCUCUCGCAUCGAUGAAGAACGCAGCGAAAUGCGAUAAGUAAUGUGAAUUGCAGAAUUCAGUGAAUCAUCGAAUCUUUGAACGCACCUUGCGCUCCUUGGUAUUCCGAGGAGCAUGCCUGUUUGAGUGUCAUGAAACUCUCAAACCCAAGUUUUGGAUUUCGGUCCAUGCUUGAGUUUGGAUUUGGAUGUUUGCCGGUGAUGAACCGACUCAUCUUAAAAGUAUUAGCUAGAUCUGUCUCUAUGACUGGUUUGACUUGGCAUAAUAAGUAUUUUGCUGAGGACAUCUUUCGGGAUGGCCAGGACCUAGACUAUUGUCUGCUAACUAAACCAUCACUUUAAGUGCAUCUUUGGAUGUUACUCAUUGUGUAACUUUGACAUCUGGCCUCAAAUCAGGUAGGACUACCCGCUGAACUUAAGCAUAUCAAUAAGCGGAGGA